This is a long non-coding RNA of Rhineura floridana, 1939 nucleotides long. RefSeq lists it as uncharacterized. Lineage: Eukaryota; Metazoa; Chordata; Lepidosauria; Squamata; Rhineuridae. The transcript is spliced from 3 exons. The record is from RefSeq and is a predicted model, not a curated record.
CAGCCCACUGCUCUGAUCAACACCUGGGCCACCACAUCCCUCAUGAGUUGUUAGACUCCGAGGGAAGGCAGGAACAGGGAGCCAGGAGUUGUGCUGGGAAGGGUGUUCAAAGCUGGAAAACAUUCAGAAACACACCAGAACCCAGAAGUAUAUUGUUGUUCAGGCACAGGUUCAGCCCAGACAAGAAGCCUUCUGGAGCCCUUCCUGUCUGGUAUAUUUCACUCCUGGUACCAUAUGUUGUCUUCAACACAAAGUUUCAGAUUCAAUGCAGUAAUUUAGAACAGGUAUUUUAUUAACAAGCAAACACCCAUAUAUGUACAGCAUCCACCAAAUGAACUUAAUCUUCUCUAUCUGAACAAGCUAACUGAUAGGAUUGUUCUUAAGAUUCUAUUAACAUUAAAGAAACAGUAACAUACUGUAUAUCAUCACAAGGUCCCAGCUGGGGGGACUCCUCGUCAGAGGAAGAUCAGGAGGCCUUUGUCUUAGACCCAGCCUUGGGUCAGGCUCCAUCUGGGUGUGAGGAGGCAGGGCCCUGCAAUGAGGCCAAGGAAGGACCAUCUGCAUCCAGGAAGCAUCAUUUCGAAGACCUUAUGCUUAGAGCAGCCUUCCUCAACCUCAGAUCCCCAAAUGUUGUUGGACUGCAGUCAACAUGGCUACACUUCUGGAAACUAAUCUAUAACAUAAUUACCAGGAAGCUGCUUCUGGAACAAAUGGAGCCAAAAGUAAAAUGCUGGAGAGGCAGGAUAAUAAUUCAGUGGGCAAGUUAAUAUUCCGUUGCAUGCAUACCUGAAAUGAGAAUGUGACAUCACCUGUUCAAACAUCUGUGGUACAACUUGUUUAGUAAGCAUGUAGGAGAGGGAGAAUAGUCUGUCAGAGCAUGCUUCAACAGACUUGGAUACAGGACUCAAGAAGAGAUUGAUACCCAUGAGUAAAAUGUUAUUUAAUACAGAGUUUUGCAAUCCUGCUCCGUCAUGUGUUAGAAAGAUUAUUUUUCUUGUAUGUUGUAGGAAGCUUGGAAAAAAACCUGUUCAAUGCAUUGUCAGGGAUCUGAGUCAACUUUGGUCCAAGUUCUGGUACAAUCCCUUUAUCUUUUCCCUGUAACUAGUAGAUGCCUCUUUAUCGAGAAACAUUAUAAUAGAGAGAUAUGCAAUGUGAUAAGAAAUCACUCCAUUCACUGCUGACCAGAGGCUUUCCCUUAGUCUUCUCUUCUCUUCAGCCUCCCAAUCUUGUAGACUGGUCAGACAGCCAGGCUCUUCCGAGCUUGCUAGUUCACCAGUCCAAACCCAAUUCUUAAUAUUAAGAAGUUCCUUUGAGAUACAGGAAAACAAAAUGGCAUGGGGAUCCAAAUGACAGCAUAAAAACAAACAAAAAGAUUCGCAUCCUCUAAAGUUUAGAUCAAGGGUGGCUACUCUGAUUCUAGUCCCUUAGUUCAGAAAAGUGUUCUCUCUUUCAGGGGGAAAAUCUUUCUGUCCCUGUAAGGGACUUUUAAAGCAAGUUUCUUGGGGCCAGAUGAUAGCUUACAUGUGCUCCCUACAUAACAAGCAAGCUGGUCUCUUAUGGCACUGAAAAAGUACCCCAAAGUUAAAAUGAAGUAAUAGGAAGAAGAGAAGGAUUAUGUCUAAACGAAGGGCUUUUCUUGACAAGCAUAUGUAAAUUUCAGUGACUAAAUACUUAUCAAAAUUUGAAUGUACACAACUAAAAUACUAAUUCUGUAGCAGUUUUGCUGGAGCAGACUGCUUUUGUUUUUAAGUGUAUUAUCAGUCUCAGAAGCAAAAGGAAUUCAGGCUUCAUGAAAAGAGAAAUAGGGAGAUUCAGAGUAUUUUUUCUUUUCUAUUCUCUUGCUUUUCGGGUUGUUGGCAUAUAAUCUUCUUUUCCAUUAUGCUCUGCAACAAUUAUUGUACAUGUUCAUGUAUAUAUUAAAAAAAAACACUUUGAACCA